RNAcentral lists this ribosomal RNA (530 nucleotides) under Micrococcus luteus. RNAcentral describes it as "bacterial SSU rRNA". It matches the Rfam family "Bacterial small subunit ribosomal RNA", at positions 29 to 572 of the family's 1533-position model. The record is from RNAcentral. Lineage: Bacteria; Bacillati; Actinomycetota; Actinomycetes; Micrococcales; Micrococcaceae.
AUGAACGCUGGCGGCGUGCUUAACACAUGCAAGUCGAACGAUGAAGCCCAGCUUGCUGGGUGGAUUAGUGGCGAACGGGUGAGUAACACGUGAGUAACCUGCCCUUGACUCUGGGAUAAGCCUGGGAAACUGGGUCUAAUACCGGAUAGGAACGUCCACCGCAUGGUGGGUGUUGGAAAGAUUUAUCGGUCAUGGAUGGACUCGCGGCCUAUCAGCUUGUUGGUGAGGUAAUGGCUCACCAAGGCGACGACGGGUAGCCGGCCUGAGAGGGUGACCGGCCACACUGGGACUGAGACACGGCCCAGACUCCUACGGGAGGCAGCAGUGGGGAAUAUUGCACAAUGGGCGAAAGCCUGAUGCAGCGACGCCGCGUGAGGGAUGACGGCCUUCGGGUUGUAAACCUCUUUCAGUAGGGAAGAAGCGAAAGUGACGGUACCUGCAGAAGAAGCACCGGCUAACUACGUGCCAGCAGCCGCGGUAAUACGUAGGGUGCGAGCGUUAUCCGGAAUUAUUGGGCGUAAAGAGCUCGU